UACUCGAGUGGCGAACGGGUGAGUAACACGUGGGUGAUCUGCCCUUCACUUCGGGAUAAGCCUGGGAAACUGGGUCUAAUACUGGAUAGGACCAUCGUUUAGUGUCGGUGGUGGAAAGUUUUUUCGGUGGAGGAUGAGCUCGCGGCCUAUCAGCUUGUUGGUGGGGUAAUGGCCUACCAAGGCGACGACGGGUAGCCGGCCUGAGAGGGUGGACGGCCACAUUGGGACUGAGACACGGCCCAG
Molecule: ribosomal RNA, 243 nt
Filed under: uncultured Actinomycetales bacterium
Lineage: Bacteria; Bacillati; Actinomycetota; Actinomycetes; Actinomycetales
Description: partial 16S ribosomal RNA
Rfam family: Bacterial small subunit ribosomal RNA
Source: RNAcentral